AAAAGAAGCAGGGGCUCCGCCCCUUGGCCAUGGACUUGAGGCGCUGGCCCGCAGAGCGUGACUUACACUGGAAGACUACUCUGCUCCGCGGGAGACCUCUGGAACCUCACUGGUAAUCUCUACGCCCAACAUAGAGCUGAAACUCACAACCACGAGAUCAAGAGUCGCAUGCUCCACCGACUGAGUGGGCCCGGAGCCCCUAGAGGAUGCAUUUUUAAAAAGCUGCGCUGAACAACCCACAUAUUUCCAAUGCAGUGUGGUAAGUGCUAAAAGGUGCCUUCAAAGUGAAUGGCUGGAAAGAAAUACUGGAGAGCAACUGGGAGAACCCAAGAGGUAGGAAGGUGCAGCCACAGGGGAAGGGGGCAGGAAACUGUACUUGAUUGAGCACCUACCUUGCAUAUUUUAUCUGGUUUGGAUCUGACAAGGAAUCCUGCAUUAGUAGGUCUCACUCCCUAUUUAACAGAUGAAAGAUCCAAAACUCAACUGGAGGUGGGUGAAGCUGUGAUUCUUCCCACAGAAGGGGCAGCCUGAGGAGGGCAGGGGUGGGCAAGGGAAGGACAGGAUGACAAGAGGGGCUUUCCAGAAAGUCCUAAGUCCAGCUGUGAGUCUGGGCCAGGAGAAGGCUUUGGGUUCCCACCAAGUCACCAGAGCAGCUUUGCUUUUACAUAUUUUCCGCUGUUAAAAAAAAAAAAAAAGAAAGAAAGUUGAAAAUUACUGAUCCAACUCCACAACUAUUACCUCAACUCAGGGAGCUCCUGAGCAAAUUGAACUUUCACUGGAAGCAAAAUCAAGCAUGGAGAGUGUAGCCCCAAACACAGGUCAUAUCACCUUCACCAUCAACACCACACCCAGUACUUCAAGGGAGAAGACGUGCAUACACAUCCUCAAGCUGUGAGCCACACUCCUCAGAGAACGGGACUCAAGGACCCCCAAAAGUCUACUUAGAUGACAUACUUUCCUACUUGUGGCCUCCUGGUCCCUCGGAGGACAGUUGUCCUAGGACACCGAGACAGGUCCAUUUUUGGGUGAAAGCAGGCUCCAUGUAGGUCAGAGUCAUCAAUAUUAUCUCAGAGAAUAGGACUUCAGUGUUCACUGCCACACAGAGUGACUUCCCUCUUCCCGGCAGUCUUCUGGAAUGAGACCAGCAAGUGUUGCCAUCAGUUUUGCAGGUGUGGAAAAUGAGGCCUCCGGAAGUGAUUUGCCCUCCUCAGACUGCUAGUCGGUGGCACCACUGUGUCUCGAACAGGGUCGGCCAGGUCUCUCUGGCUCCCAGCACUCCAUCUACUGCACCGCACAUGUCAGGGCAGGAGCGGGAGGGAGACACACAGGAGCUUUUGGAACAGCUGGGAGAGGCAAGUAAAAGUCAGUAGGUCAGGGGCGCCUGGGUGGCUCAGUCGGUUGGGCGUCUGCCUUCGGCUCAGGUCAUGAUCGCAGGGUCCUGGGAUCGAGCCCCGCAUCGGGCUCCCUGCUCGGUGGGAAGCCUGCUUCUCCCUCUGACCCUCCCCCCUCUCAUGCGCUCUCUGUCUCUCUCAUUCUCUCUCUCUCAAAUAAAUAAAUAAAACCUUUAAAAGGGCCAUAUACAUAUUGAACCUGAUGCCAAAAUGAGAAGUGGGGGCGCCUGGUGGCUCAGUUGGUUAAGCGACUGCCUUCGGCUCAGGUCAUGAUCCUGGAGUCCCGGGAUCGAGUCCCGCAUCGGGCUCCCCGCUCUGCAGGGAGCCUGCUUCUCCCUCUGCCUACUUGUGUUCUCUCUCUAUCUCUCUGUCAAAUAAAUAAAUAAGAUCUUUAAAAAAAAAAAAAAGUCAGUAGGUCAGUUUCAGCAAGUCUGGUUUCUAGAUUAUUGGGAUGUAUUUAGAAAAACAUUGAACAAGAGGUGUUUAUAAGCAGUGCCUGAGGAGACGAGGAUUUCCGGAGGAAGGAGUUAAGCCUGUCCUCGAGGAAUUCGGGGGACACAGCCACAUGUAAUGAGUGGAGACUAGUGUUCCCUAGGCCCACUGGGUCAUCCAUUUCACUCCAAGUUACCCAGUGCUACUAACUGAUCUGCACAAGGGGACAAGGGGACAUGGUCAGCAGGGAAACCUGGAAGAAGGGUUAACAAGGGAAUCUUGGGCACUGAGCAGAUGGCCCUGGGGGGCGCAGAAGAUAAGCGGGAUUAGAAGCACAGGGUCUGUCCGCUGAGAGGGUUCGUGGCUGGUGUCUGCCUGUCCCUCACAUGACCCCUUCCUUUCGUUCCCUGCGGCUCAAGCACUAGCUGAUCACAAAGCCAUUCAUUUCAGUCACUCAAGACCAGGAACAAGGGGUCCUCCGAAGCUGGCUUGCGUUGGGAGAGCCCCUCCUAUAAAUUGAUAAUUGGGGUUCUAGAUUCUGUUGGUCUCUUGGAAAUUUCGUUAACAGGAGCCUCCCACCCAGGAUUCGGUCUUCUCUGGGUGUACUGAGGAAAUCCAGGCUCUGCACCAGAAAGGCUGGGGACCAGAACUCUGGCAAAUUUGUCCAAAUGUACCACCGCCGAGGCCUCCUGGCAUGUGCCCUUCCAACACCCACAGUGUAAACAGCAGAGACGCUGUGUCUGCUAGGGCCUGGGAGGUGUGAAGGGCCUGGGCCGUGUUUCCUUGGAACCAGACUCCCCGCCCCACAACCGUUCUACAGCUGCCCCGGGGCCUGGGAAGGGAUGGAAUGUUCUCUCCGAGUUGGGACGCUGGGAAGAGCCAGCAGGAGCGGGGAUCCGGGGGCCAGUAGGCCCUAGAGCCACAGUCACUGCCCAGGCCAGAGGCAGGAGCUUGGUUGCACCGAUGACUGGGUGGAAACCAAAGGGAACUCACCACCUGCCCUCACUCUCCACUAGGCUAGGAAAUCCUCUGUCUCAAAAUCUGGCCGUUGUCCAUGCCCUUCUCCUUCUCCUUCCUCUGUGGCCUGGGGCCACAGUCAAGAGGGUGGAGAAAAGGAAAGCCCCAACUCUUCUGUCCAGAAAUUUGGGAUAGCCUAACAGGGCCCAGCAGCAGGGAGGUUUGAAAACCUCCGGGGCGGACCGUGGGGGACUGUGAGGGCAAGCCCAGCACUGGGCCCCCGCAGAGCUCCCUGUGAUGAGACAGGACCCCGAUGCUGGGGAUAAAGGGCUGGGAAGAGCGGGUCACAUGGGCACGUGCAAGGAAGGGCCGGUGACAGUUGUGGGUCUUCUUGAAGCUGGCUCGGGAGAAGACUUGUAGGCCCUCUGCCAUUUGUAGUUCAGCGUUUUGUUGUUUUCUGCAUUCUUCCCAUAGGUAUUUCUCAGGGCUUUGGCAGUGCAACAGGCCCUGGGCAAGGUUCUUAUUGAACCUCUCCUCCCAGCCCCCACUUCCUCAGUCCUAAAGUGGGGGUACGGACCUACCUCCCUUACCUCCCUGCCUCGUUGUCAGGAUUAAGUGGGGCGGCUGUCGAGCUUAGCACACAGCCUGUUUGUGGUCACCACUCCGUAUGUUGUCACUGUAAGCUAUUGUGGCUUAUCAUAAACUAUAAACACAACCCUGAGGGAAGUCAAAUUCCAUGAAAAAAAAAAAGCAGUCUCAUUAUGACCCGCCUCAAACUGUAGAAUCUCUAAGAAAAGUGAGGGCGUGUAGUCCUACAAGUGUCUAGAACCGGGUCUGUCCAGCUCCAACCCUCCCUCCACUACGCCCAGCUUGAGAACAGGGGCAGGGGGGCAGGGGGACAGAGUACUGCCUGGGAGGGGACCCGAGGAGGAUUCUGGGAUGUGGCGAAGUUGUUUUUUGAUCUGGGUGCUGGUUACACGGGUGUGUUCAGUUUGUAAAGGUGCAGUGAGCUUACACUUCCACGCACUUAUCUGUGUGUUGUAUUUAAAAAAAAAAAAUUAAAACAAACAAGGGGAGCUGUCUCAGGAUAUAGUCGGAUGAAUGCACUGGGACCAAAGGGUGAGAGUCAGAUACAGUCUCCUAGUUCCAUUGCUUGCCCAGAGAGAAGAGAAACAGAUUGUGUACUAGACGCAGCUGCAGUAAAGAAGAUGCCUAGUUUUCCACUCCCUUUUGAUAUCUGUGAUAUUUCAAAAAUAUAAGUUGUUCCAUUAGGAUACUGGUUAGUUGGUUUGUUUUCUUAAAGAUUUUAUUUUUUUAAGAUUUAUUUAUUUGUCAGGGAGAGAGAGCGCACAAGCAGGGGGAGCGGCAGGCAGAGGGAGAAGCAGGCUCCCCGCGGAGCAGGGAGCCCGAUGUGGGACUCGAUCCCAGGACCCUGGGAUCAUGACCUGAGCCAAAGGCAAACACCUAACACACUGAGCCACUCAGACGCCCCAAAUAUUUUAUUUUUUUAAGUAAUCCCUCCACCCAACAUGGGGCUUGAACUUACAACCUUGAGAUCCAGAGUUGCGUGCUCUAGCAACUGAGCCAGGCAGGCGGUCUGGUUAGUUGGUUCUUAUAAAUGUCUUCAGCUGUGACUUCAUCCACCAGUACCAAUAAAUCAUAACUUAGGUGAGAGGCACUGAGGUUAAAACUAACUUACAUUUAACAUCUUAACAAAGGGAAGUGUGGGACUGAGUCCAUUUUCCAGCUCAGAGCUUUGGGCUUUCCCUGCCUCUUGCAUUUCUGUCUUUCCCCAUGAAGAGAACUUAA
Long non-coding RNA from Mirounga angustirostris (Northern elephant seal), 4589 nucleotides. RefSeq lists it as uncharacterized. The record is from RefSeq and is a predicted model, not a curated record. The transcript has 2 exons. Lineage: Eukaryota; Metazoa; Chordata; Mammalia; Carnivora; Phocidae.